AUUGCUUCUCGGCCUUUUGGCUAAGAUCAAGUGUAGUAUCUGUUCUUAUCAGUUUAAAAUGCUCCUUAAGGCAGUUUUUUUUUUCUCCAAGCAGUUUCAUAAUAAUAGCACUGAUACCAGGCAGCACCUGAGGAGGCCAAGACAGGCCUCAACCUGAU
This 158-nucleotide small nuclear RNA is filed under the name Myotis davidii. RNAcentral's name for it is "U2 spliceosomal RNA". It matches the Rfam family "U2 spliceosomal RNA". From Rfam's summary of the family: U2 is a small nuclear RNA (snRNA) component of the spliceosome (involved in pre-mRNA splicing). Complementary binding between U2 snRNA (in an area lying towards the 5' end but 3' to hairpin I) and the branchpoint sequence (BPS) of the intron results the bulging out of an unpaired adenosine, on the BPS, which initiates a nucleophilic attack at the intronic 5' splice site, thus starting the first of two transesterification reactions that mediate splicing. The record is from Rfam by way of RNAcentral. Lineage: Eukaryota; Metazoa; Chordata; Mammalia; Chiroptera; Vespertilionidae.